CAUAGGUUAAUGAGGCGAACCGGGGGAACUGAAACAUCUAAGUACCCCGAGGAAAAGAAAUCAACCGAGAUUCCCCCAGUAGCGGCGAGCGAACGGGGAGCAGCCCAGAGCCUGAAUCAGUGUGUGUGUUAGUGGAAGCGUCUGGAAAGGCGCGCGAUACAGGGUGACAGCCCCGUACACAAAAAUGCACAUACUGUGAGCUCGAUGAGUAGGGCGGGACACGUGGUAUCCUGUCUGAAUAUGGGGGGACCAUCCUCCAAGGCUAAAUACUCCUGACUGACCGAUAGUGAACCAGUACCGUGAGGGAAAGGCGAAAAGAACCCCGGCGAGGGGAGUGAAAAAGAACCUGAAACCGUGUACGUACAAGCAGUGGGAGCACGCUUAGGCGUGUGACUGCGUACCUUUUGUAUAAUGGGUCAGCGACUUAUAUUCUGUAGCAAGGUUAACCGAAUAGGGGAGCCGAAGGGAAACCGAGUCUUAACUGGGCGUUAAGUUGCAGGGUAUAGACCCGAAACCCGGUGAUCUAGCCAUGGGCAGGUUGAAGGUUGGGUAACACUAACUGGAGGACCGAACCGACUAAUGUUGAAAAAUUAGCGGAUGACUUGUGGCUGGGGGUGAAAGGCCAAUCAAACCGGGAGAUAGCUGGUUCUCCCCGAAAGCUAUUUAGGUAGCGCCUCGUGAAUUCAUCUCCGGGGGUAGAGCACUGUUUCGGCAAGGGGGUCAUCCCGACUUACCAACCCGAUGCAAACUGCGAAUACCGGAGAAUGUUAUCACGGGAGACACACGGCGGGUGCUAACGUCCGUCGUGAAGAGGGAAACAACCCAGACCGCC
This 832-nucleotide ribosomal RNA is filed under the name Escherichia coli. RNAcentral describes it as "partial 23S ribosomal RNA". It matches the Rfam family "Bacterial large subunit ribosomal RNA", at positions 165 to 1036 of the family's 2925-position model. Lineage: Bacteria; Pseudomonadati; Pseudomonadota; Gammaproteobacteria; Enterobacterales; Enterobacteriaceae. The record is from RNAcentral.